AGCGAACGUUAGCGGCAGGCUUAACACAUGCAAGUCGAGCGAGAAAGGGGCUUCGGGCCCCCGGUAAAGCGGCGGACGGGUGCGUAACACGUGGAUAAUCUGCCCUUUGGCGGGGGACAACCAUUCGAAAGGAUGGCUAAUACCGCAUAAGUCGGCCGGGUCUUUGACCGGGCCGGGAAAGGGGGCGCCCGCAAGGGGCUCCCACCAGAGGAUGAGUCCGCGGCCCAUCAGCUAGUUGGCGGGGUAAUGGCCCACCAAGGCAAAGACGGGUAGCUGGUCUGAGAGGAUGAUCAGCCACACUGGGACUGAGACACGGCCCAGACUCCUACGGGNGGCAGCAGUGGGGAAUAUUGGACAAUGGGCGCAAGCCUGAUCCAAGCCAUGCCGCGUGAGUGAUG
RNAcentral lists this ribosomal RNA (398 nucleotides) under uncultured bacterium. Its description in RNAcentral is "bacterial SSU rRNA". It matches the Rfam family "Bacterial small subunit ribosomal RNA", at positions 30 to 410 of the family's 1533-position model. The record is from RNAcentral.